ACUUGAAAGAUGGGCGUCAGACUUGCAUACGCAGCAGAUCAGCAUCCUUCGCUGCCCCUUAGCAACUUAGGUGGUUGAUUUGAAACUGUGAAGGUGUGAUUUUUUCAGGAGCUGGAAGUCUUAGAAAAGCCUUGUAAAUGCCUAUAUUGUGGGCUUUUAACGUAUUUAAGGGACCACUUAAGACGAGAUUAGAUGGGCUCUUCUGGAUUUGUUCCUCAUUUGUCACAGGUGUCUUGUGAUUGAAAAUCAUGAGCGAAGUGAAAUUGCAUUGAAUUUCAAGGGAAUUUAGUAUGUAAAUCGUGCCUUAGAAACACAUCUGUUGUCUUUUCUGUGUUUGGUCGAUAUUAAUAAUGGCAAAAUUUUUGCCUAUCUAGUAUCUUCAAAUUGUAGUCUUUGUAACAACCAAAUAACCUUUUGUGGUCACUGUAAAAUUAAUAUUUGGUAGACAGAAUCCAUGUACCUUUGCUAAGGUUAGAAUGAAUAAUUUAUUGUAUUUUUAAUUUGAAUGUUUGUGCUUUUUAAAUGAGCCAAGACUAGAGGGGAAACUAUCACCUAAAAUCAGUUUGGAAAACAAGACCUAAAAAGGGAAGGGGAUGGGGAUUGUGGGGAGAGAGUGGGCGAGGUGCCUUUACUACAUGUGUGAUCUGAAAACCCUGCUUGGUUCUGAGCUGCGUCUAUUGAAUUGGUAAAGUAAUACCAAUGGCUUUUUAUCAUUUCCUUCUUCCCUUUAAGUUUCACUUGAAAUUUUAAAAAUCAUGGUUAUUUUUAUCGUUGGGAUCUUUCUGUCUUCUGGGUUCCAUUUUUUAAAUGUUUAAAAAUAUGUUGACAUGGUAGUUCAGUUCUUAACCAAUGACUUGGGGAUGAUGCAAACAAUUACUGUCGUUGGGAUUUAGAGUGUAUUAGUCACGCAUGUAUGGGGAAGUAGUCUCGGGUAUGCUGUUGUGAAAUUGAAACUGUAAAAGUAGAUGGUUGAAAGUACUGGUAUGUUGCUCUGUAUGGUAAGAACUAAUUCUGUUACGUCAUGUACAUAAUUACUAAUCACUUUUCUUCCCCUUUACAGCACAAAUAAAGUUUGAGUUCUAAACU
This 1086-nucleotide long non-coding RNA is filed under the name Homo sapiens (human). RNAcentral describes it as "HSALNT0363268". The record is from RNAcentral. Lineage: Eukaryota; Metazoa; Chordata; Mammalia; Primates; Hominidae.